RNAcentral lists this ribosomal RNA (320 nucleotides) under uncultured Prevotella sp. RNAcentral describes it as "bacterial SSU rRNA". It matches the Rfam family "Bacterial small subunit ribosomal RNA", at positions 28 to 339 of the family's 1533-position model. The record is from RNAcentral. Lineage: Bacteria; Pseudomonadati; Bacteroidota; Bacteroidia; Bacteroidales; Prevotellaceae.
GAUGAACGCUAGCUACAGGCUUAACACAUGCAAGUCGAGGGGCAUCAUGAUCUUAGCUUGCUAAGAUUGAUGGCGACCGGCGCACGGGUGAGUAACGCGUAUCCAACCUUCCCCUUAGUAGAGGAUAGCCCGGCGAAAGUCGGAUUAAUACUCUAUGUUGUUUGAAGCGGACAUCUAAAUCAAACCAAAGAUUCAUCGCUAAGGGAUGGGGAUGCGUCUGAUUAGGUUGUAGGCGGGGUAACGGCCCACCUAGCCGACGAUCAGUAGGGGUUCUGAGAGGAAGGUCCCCCACACUGGUACUGAGACACGGACCAGACUCC